GGGGUUAUAGCUCAGUUGGGAGAGCGGCGCGUUCGCAAUGCGCAGGCCACCGGUUCGAACCCGGUUAACUCCACCA
RNAcentral lists this transfer RNA (76 nucleotides) under Agrobacterium salinitolerans. Its description in RNAcentral is "tRNA-Ala". It matches the Rfam family "tRNA". Rfam says of the family: Transfer RNA (tRNA) molecules are approximately 80 nucleotides in length. Their secondary structure includes four short double-helical elements and three loops (D, anti-codon, and T loops). Lineage: Bacteria; Pseudomonadati; Pseudomonadota; Alphaproteobacteria; Hyphomicrobiales; Rhizobiaceae. The record is from RNAcentral.